AUUGAACGCUGGCGGCAUGCCUUACACAUGCAAGUCGAACGGCAGCGGGCCUUCGGGUGCCGGCGAGUGGCGAACGGGUGAGUAAUGCAUCGGAACGUGCCAUUGAGUGGGGGGAUAACGUAGCGAAAGUUACGCUAAUACCGCAUAUUCUGUGAGCAGGAAAGCAGGGGACCGCAAGGCCUUGCGCUCUUUGAGCGGCCGAUGUCAGAUUAGCUAGUUGGUGAGGUAAAGGCUUACCAAGGCGACGAUCUGUAGCGGGUCUGAGAGGAUGAUCCGCCACACUGGAACUGAGACACGGUCCAGACACCUACGGGAGGCAGCAGUGGGGAAUUUUGGACAAUGGGCGCAAGCCUGAUCCAGCCAUGCCGCGUGAGUGAAGAAGGCCUUC
RNAcentral lists this ribosomal RNA (388 nucleotides) under uncultured bacterium. Its description in RNAcentral is "bacterial SSU rRNA". It matches the Rfam family "Bacterial small subunit ribosomal RNA", at positions 30 to 419 of the family's 1533-position model. The record is from RNAcentral.